GACGAACGCUGGCGGCGUGCUUAACACAUGCGAGUCGAACGGAAAGGCCCUGCUUUCGUGGGGUGCUCGAGUGGCGAACGGGUGAGUAACACGUGAGUAACCUGCCCUUGACUUUGGGGUAACUUCAGGAAAGUGGGGCUAAUACCGUAUAGGAGCUCCUGCUGCAUGGUGGGGGGUGGAAAGUUGCGGCGGUUGGGGAUGGACUCGCGGCUUAUCAGCUUGUUGGUGGGGGAGUGGAUUACCAAGGCUUUGACGGGUAGCCGGCCUGUGAGGGUGACCGGCCACAUUGGGACUGAGAGACGGCCCAGAGUCCGAUGGGAGGCAGCAGGGGGGAAGAUUGCACAAUGGGCGGAAGCCUGAUGCAGCAACGCCGCGUGCGGGAUGACGGCCUUCGGGUUGUAAACCGCUUUCGCCUGUGACGAAGCGUGAGUGACGGUAAUGGGUAAAGAAGCACCGGCUAACUACGUG
This 468-nucleotide ribosomal RNA is filed under the name uncultured bacterium. Its description in RNAcentral is "partial 16S ribosomal RNA". It matches the Rfam family "Bacterial small subunit ribosomal RNA", at positions 28 to 507 of the family's 1533-position model. The record is from RNAcentral.